UCCCGAGUACUGGGAUUAAAGGCGUGCACCACCAUGCCCAGCUGUGUGUGACAUUCUUAAUGUGUUCUUGAACUCAGUUUCUGAGUUUAUUGUUGCAAAUGAUUGCACCUGUGAAACUGGUCCAUAGUGUUUUGCUGUCGUUGGACCCUAUCUGGUUUUGGCACCAGGGUAAUAUUGGCUUUGUAGAAUGUGUUUAGUAGAACCCUCCAAUCCUGUUUUGUGGAAUGAUUUGAGGAGCAUUAGUAUUAACUCAUUUUCAGAUUUUGAUAGAAUUUGCUAGUUAGUCUGUCUAUUGCUAGGCAAACUAAAAAGACUCUUUUUAAUUUAAUUAUUUUUUUUUUAAAUAGAGUCUUGAUCUCAUAUAUUCCAGACUGGCUUUGAACUCGCUAGUUAGCCAAGGCUGGUCUUAAAUCCUUGAUCCUCCUGUCUUUACCACCUAAAUUCUAGAAUGAUAGGCAUGAGCUAUCAUACCUGUUUUAUGUGGGGUUGGGGAUCAAACCCAGAGCUUUGUGCAUGCGAGACAAGCACUCUGCUGACUGAGAUCCCGCCGCAGGACCGAUGUCGGGAAGGCUCCUUAAAACUCUUUCAAUCUCCUUGUUUUCUAUAGAUCUGUUUGAAUUUUUUACAUCUUCUUGACUUAAUUUUGGUAUGAGAUUUGUGUCUCAAGAUUUAUCCUUUUUUUUUUUUUUCAUUUUCCAAUUUUUUAAAAUGUAGUUUUCUAAAGAAUUCUCUAAGAACUGUCUAAAUUCCAUUUGCAUUUGUUGUAAUAUUCCUUGCCUCAUUCCUAGUUUUAUUGAUUUGAGUCCUCUCUCUUUCUUCUGGCUAGACCAGGGCAGACCAGGCCCUAUACUCAGUAACCUGGCCCACCUGUAGCAUGCUCCAGUUCUGCUGAGAGUUUGUCAAAGAACUGGCUCAUAGUUUCAUUGAUUCUUUGUGUUGUCCCUUAGUCCCCGUUUUACUAAUAGCUGUCCCAAUCUUAUCUCUUAUUGAACACUAUUAAGUAAAUAAAUGUUACUGUUAGGCAUGCAUUACAGUAUAAAUCAGAGUCCUUCUGACUGCUGAGAAGCUUGCUAAGUCACUAAUGGGCAGGACAGAUGGAUGGAGGACAUUUAUCAUCCUGGGGAAGACAUAGAGGGUUAGCAUGAGAUUUCAUCACAUUUCUCAGAAUCCUGUGCUGCAGGAGUCAUUUGUUUCUAGACUUCUUCAUUUAUGUCCUCAAGCCUUGGUCGAGCAUAGGUAUCAGAAGCCACAGAAAAAUGAAACUGUAACUAAAAGGAGUGACCGUGCCAGUCCCAGCCAUAGUGGCAGUGUUAGUGGUGACAACAGCCGCAGCAUUAUGCUGGUAUAUCUCCUUUCCUUCCUUCUUUCCUUAAAAUAUACCUUCCUGGAAGUCAGAGUCUACUAAGAUGAGAAUCGGCUGCCUCUGAAGGAACACUGAGUUUCUUGUCACGUCAGCAACAACAUAGGAGAUGAUCUUCAAGCAUUGAGUUUGGGAUGUGUGGCUACACAGAUUACAGUAAGGGUUUGGGUUUUCCUUAAUCUUGUAGGUUGAGUCCAUCGGUGAGACUCUGAUCCUAAGAACCAAAUAUAAUUCCUGCCUGUUUAUUUUGGGAGAGAAACUGUAUACAAAAAAAAAGAAAGAAAGAAAG
Molecule: long non-coding RNA, 1649 nt
Filed under: Mus musculus (house mouse)
Lineage: Eukaryota; Metazoa; Chordata; Mammalia; Rodentia; Muridae
Description: long non-coding RNA chr7:96622861-96624510
Source: RNAcentral